UGGGAACCUUCCCUAUGGUUCGGAAUAGCCCAGGGAAACUUGGGGUAAUACCGGAUAAGCCCUUCGGGGGAAAGAUUUAUCGACAUUGGAUGGGCCCGCGUCGGAUUAGCUAGUUGGUGAGGUAACGGCUCACCAAGGCAGCGAUCCGUAGCUGGUCUGAGAGGAUGAUCAGCCACACUGGGACUGAGACACGGCCCAGACUCCUACGGGAGGCAG
This 216-nucleotide ribosomal RNA is filed under the name uncultured bacterium. RNAcentral's name for it is "partial 16S ribosomal RNA". It matches the Rfam family "Bacterial small subunit ribosomal RNA", at positions 118 to 351 of the family's 1533-position model. The record is from RNAcentral.